RNAcentral lists this long non-coding RNA (5237 nucleotides) under Sus scrofa (pig). RNAcentral's name for it is "lncRNA (ENSSSCG00000055561.1)". Lineage: Eukaryota; Metazoa; Chordata; Mammalia; Artiodactyla; Suidae. The record is from RNAcentral.
AAUAGUGCAUAUGAAGUAUCUAUAUUAUCAGAUUAGAGUAGUGGGAUCCAGGAUCCUGGUGAAGGGAAGAAUGGGAAGGUUUUAUUCAAUGGGUAUGAAGUUUUAGCCAUGCAAAAUGAAUGAUGUCUAGAGAUCUGCUUUACAAUGCUGUGUCUAUAGUUACUGAUGCUCUAUUAUACACUUAAAAAUUUGUUGAAAGGGGGAGUUCCCAUUGUGGCUCAGCAGAAAUGAACCUGACUAGCAUCCAUGAGGACGCAGGUUCGAUCCCUGCCCUCGCUCAAUGGGUUAAGGAUCCGGCCUGGCAGUGAGCUGUGGCAUAGGUCACAGAUGUGGCUCGGAUCCUGUGUUGCUGUGGGCUGUGGUAUAGCCAGUGGCUACAGCUCCAAUUUGACCCUUUGCCUAAGAACCUCUGUAUGCUUUGGGUGUGGCCCUAAAAAAGACAAAAAAAAAAAAUCUGUUGAAAUGGUAGAAAUCAUGUUAAGUGUUCUUACAACAACAACAAAAGUGAGUAACUGCCUUCAUUCCCAAAGAAAGCUAAAGCCUAGAAUGGAAGUUCUGGGGGCCUGCAUAUAGGCUGAUAAUCAACCAAAAACAUGGAUUGUCUGUAAGAAGCAGAGAGAAAUGCCUCUCAGCCAAGUUAGGGGGCUGUCCUGGCCUGGAUAGGAAGGGUCAAAACCAGCAAACAAAGAUUUACCAAAUCAGAAUACAAUGCCAUGGUAAAAAUCAAGAAUAGCCUUUGUAUAUGGAAUAGAUGUUCAACAGGCACCUGCUGUGUAGCAUAAGGAAGAACUCUACCCAGUAUUCUGUGAUAACCUAUAUGGACAAAGAAUCCAAAAAAGAAUGAAUAUGCGUAUGUAUAUAACUGAGUCACUUUGUUGCCACAGCAGAAAUUAUCACAACAUUGUAAAUCAACUAUACUUUGAUAAAACUUUAAAAAAAUGAAAAAAGAGAAUAUCCUACAAAUUAUUUCAGGUUAGUUACAGGAAAAACUCUGCUGAAUUCCGUGAUUCUAGGACUUCCAAUAUCAUGUCUAUAGAACACAGGGAUUAAGAGUCUGUACUUUGUGGAUGUGUGUACAUGUAUCAGUUAAAAAGUUAUUUUGAAACCAUAUCUAAAACUUUUAAGACCAAGUCUGGACAAUAGCAGGUGAUUAGUAAAUGACAGCAUUUUUACAGUUAUCAUCAUCAUUAUUUACUUAACAGGUUUGACACUUGCUGAUGCUUUAAUUAUAUACAAAGUUUAGGCAUCAGUUUUUUUAUCUGUGAAUAAGAACCAUAUGCGUAUUUUGUGAAGUCAUGAGCAUUAAAUGGGCAAGCAUAAGUAGUAUUCAUACCACUUUGUAAAUGCUAAACUGAUAAUGUCUAUUGUUGCAAUAUUACUAUUACUUAAGUGAUUAAGAACCAUGUUUUAGGGUUUUUUGCUUUGCUUUGUUUUGUUUUUGUCCAGCCUUUCAUUAACAGGUGGAAUUAAACAUUUUGGCCACUAGUUGGUGGUCUCUUUUUCACUGAGCAGUCUGGUGUUUGUAGUCUUUCCGGUAGCCAAGCAGUCUAAGUUCUGUUUAGAAAACCAAAUAUGAUGAAAAAAUUUCUUUUACAAUCAUACAUGUUUUUACUAUAGGAAGAGUAUUAUUAAAACUUGUGACAACCAUUCAUUAAAUCUGGAAUAUAAAAACAGAAAAAAAACACAUUAAAAAAAUAAUCUCACCCCCUCUGUACCGGCACCAUUAUUGGUAUAAUGUUUCUGGGAAUUUGUUCCGUGUAUUAGUUUAUGUGGAUAUGAAGAGAUACGUGUCUGAACCUUUUCCCUAAGGCAAUGGCCGUAUCAUGAAAACAUUUAUAUAUUCUGAAUAUACUUUCUUUCUUUCUUUUUCUUUUUUUGCUUUUUAGGGCCUCACCUGUAGCAUAUGGAGGGUCCCAGCUAAGGGUCAAAUUGGGCCUACACUACAGCUGUGGUAACAUCAGAUCAAGCGACAUCUGCGACCUACACCACAGCUCACCGCAAUGCUGGAUCUUUAACCCACUGAGCAAGGCCAGGGAUCAAACCUGCAUCCUCAUGGAUGCUAGUAAGAUUUGUUUCUGCUGAGUCAUGACAGGAAGUCCCUAAAUAUUAUUUCUAAUGCCUGCAUAAUAGGGACAUAAUUUACUGAUUUUACUGUUGGCAGUGGUUUAAUGCUUUUUUGUUUGUUUGUUUUCUUUUUUAUAUGUCUUGUAAUUUUUGAUUGAAAGCUAGACAAUUUGAAUGAAAUGGCCAUGAAAAUGGGCACAUUUUCCCACCAGGCUCUCAGUAUAAGAGGUUGAAUCCAUCAGGUGAGCUGGGUUUGGGUUUUUCUGUUGCUAUAGUUACUUUCAGUGCACCCCAGAUUUCAAAUUCCUCCACCUGGAGAGCAGGAAGGUUUUUUUUUAAGUUAUUGCUUUACCCUCAACUGUCAGAGGUUCCUGCACGUCUGUACAUCCAGGAACAUCUCUCUCCAUGCUCUUGCUCUUCUCCCAGCAGUGGCUUGUUACUCAGUUCUCAGCUCAAGGUGGGGAAGGGAAGUCCUUGGUUUUCUUGGUCCAGCUCUGGUAUCGGUCAGGCCCUGUGAGACCAAGUGUUGAAGGUGGGGCUUUCUCAGCAUCUUAUCCUUGUCUUGCCCCUUGAUGGCAAACAAAGUGCUUUGUACUUGUGGGGUCUUGAGUAGGACAGAGUUCACUCUGCUUCAUCCAACAACAGCUUUGCAGAGGUCCCAGAUUCUGAAGCCUUGCUCUCUUUUUCCGGAGACAUGAGUUUGUUUUUUCCCAUUUCUCCCUCAGAAGUAGUGGACCUUGGCCUGGCACCUGGGAAUAAGAAUAUUUCUUACUUCUUCUCCAGGGGCUUCAGGCUUUCGCUUCCUGUGAGUGAGAAGUCUGGGAAGUGGGCAAGAUUUCCUGUGCCCCACUGAGGAAAGCUCUCUUCCUCCUGCUCUAUUCCAUGUGUGUGUGUGUGUGUGUUGUGUUGAAUGGUCAUGUGAGUCUGCACUGCUAUAAGCAACAUCUAUACAGUAUAAAAUGUUCAUUAUGGUAAUAUUCAGAAUAGAUUUUUAUUUUUUCCAUAGAAAAAAGGUUUACAGUGUUCUGUCAAUUUUCUACUAUAUAGCAAGGACCCAGUCACACAUACAUGUAUGCAUUCUUUUUUCUCACAUUAUCAUGCUCCAUCACAAGUGACUAGAUAUAGUUCCCAGUGCUAUACAGCAGGAUCUCAUUGCUUAUCCAUUGCAAAGGCAAUAGUUUGCAUCUAUUAACCCCAAAUUCCCAAUCCAUCCCACUUCCUCCACCUCCCCCUUGGCAACCACAAGUCUGUUCUCCAUGUCCAUGAUUUUCUUUUCUGUGGAAAGAUUCAUUUGUGCCAUAUAUUAGAUUCCACUUAUAAGUGAUAUCAUAUGGUAUUUGUAAACCAGCUAUAAUGGGACAAAUAAAAAUCAUUAUAAAAUAGUUGUACAAUGAUAAUGUCACAACUAUAAAUGUAAUAAAUUCAUUGAGUAAUUAAAAAAAAAGACCAUAUGGAGAAAAAAUUAUAAAAUAGAGUAAUAAAAUAAAAUCCACCUUUAAUAAAAGAAAAAAAGAAAAUCAGUUUGUGACUUAAAAAAAAAAUGAACCUAGGAAAGGUUAAGAAAUCUGAGGUAAAACAUUUAAAAGAGAGCAGCUUCAUGUAAAAGAUUACGAUCUUAUUUACUUCCUGUCUUCUUUUGAGAAAAUUGCCCUGAAAAUUCUUCACUUUUAAUAUUUGUAUUCUUAUUCCAUUUACUUUUUAUAUGAUAUAUGUCAAAUUAAAAUGUCAUUUAUAAAAUAUUAUAAUGUUCUAUUAUAAAAAUUUUUAAGUGAUAACAAAAAGUUAAAAAGGACAAUAGUUUCAUUGUAGCAUUAGUUGCAAAAUUGCAACAUAUGUAUUUAAAUCAUAUCAAGCAUAGGAAUUCAAAUUGGCAGGAAAUCUGUUCUAGUCUUAUUGUCUUUAAAAAUAAGUACAUUAAGGAGACGGGAUUAAGAUGGCAGAAUAGAAAGACUGGAGCUCAACUUCUCUCCUAAAAACAACAAAAUUCACAGGUAAAGACUGAGCACUCUUCACCCAAAUGGACCAGAAACCCAUACCCUACUCCAGAAGAAAAAGAGGAGGCCACAUCCACAGUUAGGAGGGGUGAUUUCGUGAUAUAAACAACCCCAUACCUCCCAGGUGGGAAGCUCCACAGACUGAAAACUAACUGGUUCACAGAGACUCACCUACAGGAGUGAGAGUUCUGAGCCACACAUCAAACCCUCACAUGCUGGGAUCUGUCACUGGGAGAAAGAGCCCCUGGAUCAUCUGGCAUUGAAGGCCAGCAGGGCUUGUGCACAGGAGCUCCACAGGACUGGGGGAAACAGAGACCCCAUUCUUAAAAGGUGCACACAGACUUUCACGUGCACUAGGUCCCAGGGCAGAGUGAGGUCUCCACAGGAACCUAGGUCAAACCUGACUGCAGUUCUUGGAGGACAUCCUGGGAAAACAGGGGUGAAUGUGGCUUGUUGUGAGGGAAGGACGUUGAAGGCAAAGCUCUUGGGAAUAUUCAGCAGUUGCCUUUCUCUGGAGGUGGCCAUUUUGGGAAAAUCUGGCCCCACCCAUCAGCCAGCCCUGAGAAGCCCCAGGGCAAACAACAACCCAGGUGGGAUCACAGCCCCACCCCUCAGUAAACAGGCUACCUAAAGAGCCUCAGGCACACAGCAGCCCCUAAUCCCAUCCAGAGUCUAAGACCCACACACCAGAGGGAUUAGAAUUGACUCCACCUACCAGGGGGCAGGCAUCAGCCCCUCCCAUCAGGAAGCCUACAGCAAGCCCCCCAUACCGACUUCAGCCACAGGGGGGCAGACACCAGAAGUAAGAGAGGCUACAGCUCUCUUAUCUAUAAAAAGGUCACCACACCAAAAACCUAUAAAAAUGAAAAGACAGAGGACAAUAACUCAGAUGAGGGAGAAAGGAAAAACCUCAGAAAAUCAGCUAAGCAAUGAGAUUCUCAGCCUCCAGGAAAAAGACUUUAGACUGUCGAUGCUGAAGAUGAUGCAAGACAUUGGAAAUAAAUUGGAGGCAAAGAUGGAUAACUUAACAGGAAACACUGACCAAAGAGAUACAAGAUCUAAAACUUAAACAAGAAGAGAUGCAAAAUACAAUAACUGAAAUAAAAAAUUCAUUAGAAGCAGCCAACAGCAGAAUACAGGAGGCAGAAGAACGAAUAAGCGAGGUGGAGGACAGAUUAG